GGUGGACCUACCUAUAAGACUGGGACAACUUCGGGAAACCGGAGCUAAUACCGGAUAAGAUAUCGAACCGCAUGGUUCGAUAGUGAAAGAUGGUUUUGCUAUCACUUAUAGAUGGACCCGCGCCGUAUUAGCUAGUUGGUGAGGUAACGGCUCACCAAGGCAACGAUACGUAGCCGACCUGAGAGGGUGAUCGGCCACACUGGAACUGAGACACGGUCCAGACUCCUACGGGAGGCAGCAGC
Molecule: ribosomal RNA, 242 nt
Filed under: uncultured Staphylococcus sp.
Lineage: Bacteria; Bacillati; Bacillota; Bacilli; Caryophanales; Staphylococcaceae
Description: partial 16S ribosomal RNA
Rfam family: Bacterial small subunit ribosomal RNA
Source: RNAcentral